UCUCCAUGAUGAUCAUGCUUUCGAGCCACUGUGUCUGGGCCACUGAUGCCUGUGAUGGAGCUGAGGAUCUGAGCCG
Struthio camelus australis is the source of this 76-nucleotide small nucleolar RNA. Lineage: Eukaryota; Metazoa; Chordata; Aves; Struthioniformes; Struthionidae. The record is from Ensembl.